GACGUAGGGGGCCAGCGUUGCUCGGAAUUACUGGGUGUAAAGGGUUCGUAGGCGGUUUGGCAAGUCGGGUGUGAAAACUCCGGGCUCAACUCGGAGACGCCACUCGAUACUGCCAUGACUCGAGUCCGGUAGGGGAGUGCGGAAUUCCUGGUGUAGCGGUGAAAUGCGCAGAUAUCAGGAGGAACACCGGUGGCGAAGGUGGCACUCUGGGCCGGUACUGACGCUGAGGAGCGAAAGCGUGGGGAGCGAACAGG
This 254-nucleotide ribosomal RNA is filed under the name uncultured bacterium. RNAcentral's name for it is "partial 16S ribosomal RNA". It matches the Rfam family "Bacterial small subunit ribosomal RNA", at positions 524 to 776 of the family's 1533-position model. The record is from RNAcentral.